RNAcentral lists this ribosomal RNA (803 nucleotides) under Arthrobacter sp. 8D8. Its description in RNAcentral is "bacterial SSU rRNA". It matches the Rfam family "Bacterial small subunit ribosomal RNA", at positions 54 to 867 of the family's 1533-position model. Lineage: Bacteria; Bacillati; Actinomycetota; Actinomycetes; Micrococcales; Micrococcaceae. The record is from RNAcentral.
CAUGCAGUCGAACGAUGACUUUUGUGCUUGCACAGAAUGAUUAGUGGCGAACGGGUGAGUAACACGUGAGUAACCUGCCCCUGACUCUGGGAUAAGCCUGGGAAACUGGGUCUAAUACUGGAUAUGCACCGUAGACCGCAUGGUUUUUGGUGGAAAGAAUUUUGGUCAGGGAUGGACUCGCGGCCUAUCAGCUUGUUGGUGAGGUAAUGGCUCACCAAGGCGACGACGGGUAGCCGGCCUGAGAGGGUGACCGGCCACACUGGGACUGAGACACGGCCCAGACUCCUACGGGAGGCAGCAGUGGGGAAUAUUGCACAAUGGGCGAAAGCCUGAUGCAGCGACGCCGCGUGAGGGAUGACGGCCUUCGGGUUGUAAACCUCUUUCAGUAGGGAAGAAGCGAAAGUGACGGUACCUGCAGAAGAAGCGCCGGCUAACUACGUGCCAGCAGCCGCGGUAAUACGUAGGGCGCAAGCGUUAUCCGGAAUUAUUGGGCGUAAAGAGCUCGUAGGCGGUUUGUCGCGUCUGCCGUGAAAGUCCGAGGCUCAACUUCGGAUCUGCGGUGGGUACGGGCAGACUAGAGUGAUGUAGGGGAGACUGGAAUUCCUGGUGUAGCGGUGAAAUGCGCAGAUAUCAGGAGGAACACCGAUGGCGAAGGCAGGUCUCUGGGCAUCUACUGACGCUGAGGAGCGAAAGCAUGGGGAGCGAACAGGAUUAGAUACCCUGGUAGUCCAUGCCGUAAACGUUGGGCACUANGUGUGGGGGACAUUCCACGUUUUCCGCGCCGUAGCUAACGCAUUAAGUGC